UACAGAGGGGGCAAGCGUUGUUCGGAAUUACUGGGCGUAAAGGGCGCGUAGGCGGCCUUCUAAGUCGAACGUGAAAUCCCCGGGCUCAACCCGGGAACUGCGUCCGAUACUGGAAGGCUUGAAUCCGGGAGAGGGAUGCGGAAUUCCAGGUGUAGCGGUGAAAUGCGUAGAGAUCGGCAGGAACACCCAGGGAGAAAUCAGCCGCCUGGGCAAGUGCUGACGCUGAGGUGCGAAAGCGUGGGGAGCGAACCGG
RNAcentral lists this ribosomal RNA (253 nucleotides) under uncultured bacterium. RNAcentral's name for it is "partial 16S ribosomal RNA". It matches the Rfam family "Bacterial small subunit ribosomal RNA", at positions 524 to 776 of the family's 1533-position model. The record is from RNAcentral.